Molecule: long non-coding RNA, 1752 nt
Organism: Brassica oleracea var. oleracea
Lineage: Eukaryota; Viridiplantae; Streptophyta; Magnoliopsida; Brassicales; Brassicaceae
Exons: 12
Source: RefSeq, a predicted model, not a curated record
UUUUAUACAGCCCAAUUAAGAGUAUUAGGUUUCUCAUCGUCUUUUCAACUUCUUCUAUGCCGAUCUUCUCAGAGUGUAGAGUCAAGAACCAAAAGAUGAGUGAUACAGAGGAGGCCAGGAAUGAUCUAAGAUGACCUUUCAUACACACAGGGAGUUGGUGUCAGAUGGGUUCAAGAGAGUCGCGUAUGAUGGGUUCGUCUCGAGUUAUCAGAGACAGCUCUAUCUAUGUUUUUGCAUGUGUUCUGAUCGCUGCGCUUAGUCAUAUUCAAUUUGGUUUCACUGUCCAGUGUGAUUAUUAUUCUCCAACAGAAGCUGCGAUCACUAAGGAUCUCGGUUUAACUACUGUAUCUGAGUACUUUAUGUUUGGUUCUCUAUCCAAUGAGGGUGGUAUGGUUGGUGCAAUUGCCAGUGGUCAGAUCGCAUAAUACAUUGGAUGAAAAGGGGUCUCUGAUGAUUGCUGGUUGGUUUGCAUAUUAUUUGCAAAAGAUUCUUCAGAUAUAAUUGGUGAGCUAAGUGCAAUCAGGAGCACAAUCACCGACAGUAUACCGGGGGCCCAGCAUGUAAUGCUAACUCUGGGUCUACAAAGGGAUGUAAAUGUUUGUGUUUGUAUGUUUGAUUUUUUGGCUCUUGCAUUUCAUAAAUAUUUGAUAGCUACAAGUUUGAUUCUUUGGCUCUUGCAUUUCAUAAAUAUUUGAUAGCUACAAGAAAGAGCCUAAAAUUGUGCGUUCCACCAGCAUCAAUCCUAAGAUUGUUGGGGGCCGGUUAUUUCUGAACGCCUCUUCUGGCGCAUAUAUCUACUUUGAUUCUGAGACACCUGCAUGAAAAGAAGAGUUUGACAAAUUGACAGGCGAUGGUACAUACCAGACAACGUCUUCAUCAAAGUUGGUUCAUGCCCAAAAGUUUGAACCUCUAACUGUUGCUGAGCUUAACCAAUAUUUUAUUAUUGCUGAUCCUCAGGUAAUUGAGUAUGACUAAAGUGACCUGAAUUCAGCAAGAUUAUGGUUGGUGUUAUAUUGGCUGCUCCGGAUUUUCAAAGAAACUUUUACGAGAGAUAUCUUCCUUCACAUGUGUCACAUGUAAUGAAACUAAUGUUGUGGCUGCACUCGAGUACCGAGUGAUACUGACAGUGUCAGACGCCACUGAUAUAGCGGCUUUCCUUGGUUUUGAUAUGGAGGUGGUUAAACUGAGAAACAUUCAAGCUUCUGAGGCUACACAUAUUGUGGGGAUAGGUGUUGAUGCUCAGAUUGACACGGACCUGCCUCGGUUCCUUGCUGAGAUUUUUGGGAAUACCUACACCUUCCAGCUCAAGUUAAAGGACUUCAAUUUUACUUCAAAGCACCAAACCUUCACGGUUUCUUGCGUUUUUCCUUCGCAAGAGCUUGCACCUUCGCCAGCCUUUGUUGUAAAUGAAGGUGCACCCCUGAAGCAGCGCAGCCUGAAGUUGUAGCAACAGGAUCAGAUGCCAAAGUUGAUAAAUGAUAACACCUGCUGUGUUACAGAGGCGCCAUCAACAUCUGAUGGUUCACUUGCAGGACAUAAAGCAUCAGCCAAAGAACAAAUUGCUUUGGAUGAGAAUCCACCGUAGAACCCACGUUUGGAAUGAGUCUACUAUGAGAACUUAAUAAACAACCACGUCUUCUCUUUAUCAAAUAAUUUGUUUUGUUUCUUUCAAUUUCCUUUGAAUCUAUAUUAAAAUACUCAAUUUUCUUUAGUUCUUUUCUCAUCUUAAAACUUUCAAAUUUCUUUAGCUCU